RNAcentral lists this long non-coding RNA (602 nucleotides) under Nicotiana benthamiana. Its description in RNAcentral is "long non-coding RNA (NBEN_LNC037471)". Lineage: Eukaryota; Viridiplantae; Streptophyta; Magnoliopsida; Solanales; Solanaceae. The record is from RNAcentral.
AUUAAACGACAUAACCCUAACCCUAAUCCCUUCUUCUUCAAAGAACACCCUUUCUUCUUCACAAACUCCCCUCCUCUUCAACUCAUUUCCAUUGUUUUUCAACUUUCCCCAAAUCUCAAGCACACUCCCCUCUCCUUUUCAUGAAUUCUCCUAACAAUCACCCACUACAGGUAUGCCUUCUAGGUACCAUAUUUUAUUUUUUUAUUUUUUCUUUCUUUUUCUAAUUUUCGUUUUUAUUUAUUUUUGUAUUUAUGGAGUUGUUGUUCUUGCACUUGUUUAGUAGAAUUCUGUAGUAUAUGUUGUAGUAAGUAUGGGUGGAAUGGAUGGUGGAGUUAGAGCAUGAAUUAGUUGUGCUUGUGCGUAAAUUGUAGUGGAUUUGGGGGUGGUCCAAUGCUUGAAAUGGGUUGUGCAUACCAAAUGCCCACAAGGUGUUUGUGUAUAUGCCUUAGUGAGUGUAGUAGUGUACUUAUGACUAAUUAUGCAUGAAGUAUGAGUAACCGCAUUGCGUCACAAGUUUUUGUUGGGCUGUUCUAAUGUUCUCCCAUUUUCCAGGUUCUAUGGCCCCCUCUCAGAAAUGCCAAAAGGGUGGUGCCUAUUCUAGC